This 1245-nucleotide ribosomal RNA is filed under the name metagenome. Its description in RNAcentral is "bacterial LSU rRNA". It matches the Rfam family "Bacterial large subunit ribosomal RNA", at positions 1346 to 2589 of the family's 2925-position model. The record is from RNAcentral.
AAAGGGUUCCUGUCCAAGGAUCAUCCGGGCAGGGUUAGUCGGCCCCUAAGACGAAGCAGAAAUGCGUAGCCGAUGGGAGACGGGUUAAUAUUCCCGUACCACUGACACAGAGCAGAGCGGGGACGGAGAAGGCUAGGGUAGCCACCUGAUGGAUGGUGGUUCAAUCCAGUAGGCUGUCUGCUUAGGAAUAAAACGAGCGGAUAAGGCCGAGAGGGUAUGUCGAAGAGACCUCGGUCUCGAAGUACCUGAUGCCAUGCUUCCAAGAAAAGCCGCGGGCUGCGAUGAAGUGUUGGUGACCGUACCGCAAACCGACUCAGGUGGGCAGGUGGAGAACGCCGAGGCGCUAGGGAGAACACUGGUUAAGGAACUAGGCAAAUUAAUACCGUAACUUCGGGAUAAGGUAUGCCAGUUAGGUGAAGGGCCUGCGCCUGGAGCCAAGACUGGUCACAGCAAAGCGGCGGUAGCGACUGUUUACCAAAAACACAGGUCUCUGCAAAGUCGUAAGACGAUGUAUAGGGGCUGACGCCUGCCCGGUGCCGGAAGGUUAAGAGGAGCUGUCAGCGCAAGCAAAGCAGCGAAUUGAAGCCCCGGUAAACGGCGGCCGUAGCUAUAACGGUCCUAAGGUAGCGAAAUCCCUUGUCGGGUAAGUUCCGACCUGCACGAAAGGCGUAACGACUUCCGCGCUGUCUCAACCAGUGGCCCUGCGAAAUUGACGUUGGGGUGAAGAUGCCCCAUACCCGCAGAAAGACGGAAAGACCCUGUGAACCUUUACUCUAGCUUGGCAGUGACAUUCGACAUUAUCUGUGUAGCAUAGGUGGGAGGCGUUGAGUUCGGCGCGCUAGCGUCGAAGGAGCCACCGUUGAAAUACCACCCUGAUGAUGUUGGCUGUCUAACUUCGAAAGAAGGACACUGCCUGGUGGGGAGUUUGACUGGGGCGGUCGCCUCCCAAACAGUAACGGAGGCGCGCGAUGGUUCUCUCAGCCUGAUCGGAAACCAGGCGUAGAGUGCAAAGGCAUAAGAGAGCUUGACUGCGAGACGGACACGUCGAGCAGGUUCGAAAGAAGGCCUUAGUGAUCCGGCGGUCCCAUAUGGAAGGGCCGUCGCUCAACGGAUAAAAGGUACUCCGGGGAUAACAGGCUUAUCACGCCCAAGAGUUCACAUCGACGGCGUGGUUUGGCACCUCGAUGUCGGCUCGUCGCAUCCUGGGGCUGGAGCAGGUCCCAAGGGUUUGGCUGUUCGCCAAUU